This 84-nucleotide transfer RNA is filed under the name Bacteroidetes bacterium SB0662_bin_6. Its description in RNAcentral is "tRNA-Leu". It matches the Rfam family "tRNA". From Rfam's summary of the family: Transfer RNA (tRNA) molecules are approximately 80 nucleotides in length. Their secondary structure includes four short double-helical elements and three loops (D, anti-codon, and T loops). Further hydrogen bonds mediate the characteristic L-shaped molecular structure. tRNAs have two regions of fundamental functional importance: the anti-codon, which is responsible for specific mRNA codon recognition, and the 3' end, to which the tRNAs corresponding amino acid is attached (by aminoacyl-tRNA synthetases). tRNAs cope with the degeneracy of the genetic code in two manners: having more than one tRNA (with a specific anti-codon) for a particular amino acid; and 'wobble' base-pairing, i.e. permitting non-standard base-pairing at the 3rd anti-codon position. The record is from RNAcentral. RNAcentral also lists the same sequence under 1 other name. Lineage: Bacteria; Pseudomonadati; Bacteroidota.
GCGAAAGUGGCGGAACUGGCAGACGCGCCAGACUUAGGAUCUGGUGGGGUAACACCCUUGGGGGUUCGAGUCCCUCCUUUCGCA